AAACUAUAUAGUUAACAUAUAUAUUUGUGUGUAUAUAUGUUUAACUACAUACAUAUGUGUAGCUCAGUGCCUUAGGUCCAUUAUAGUAGCAGAUAAACCAAAGUAAUUUUGUCACGAUGAUCAUAUGCCUAUGGAAGAAGAUUGGCUCAAGUGAAAUUAACUUCUGCACUUUUGGGUUUUAUACUGGUAGUAGGAGCACAGCUGGCUUUUAUCCCUCUGAAUCAUUGUUCUUUAUAGAGCUCUUUUUCAGAAUGGUCUAGCCAAAAUGUGAUGUUCCUUGGACCUGAGAAUUGGAACUCAGAAACUAUUCUUUAUACAUUAUUCAAACAGAAAAGGAGUUACUUGGAAGUUCUUAAUAAUAAUCCUAAUAAAUAAAUUUAUGAUCUCAAAAAUGUAGGUCUGAAAUCUUAACCUCUGACCCUUCACACCACCAGUCAGAAAUUUUCACAGCUGUUUUCUUUUCCUUGAUAGAACAUAGAGGGCAUGGUUUAGUUGAAGUAAGUUGUAUAUACAUGUAACUACCAUGAUGAUCCCUAACGAAGUUCUGUAAUUCUGCUUGGCUUCUUUGGGAGGCUGCUGAGUGUGACUCACCCAUAUUCCCAACCCAUUUCACUCCGUACUACUAUUUUUUUUUUUAAGAUUUUAUUUAUUUUUUAAGUAAUCUCUACACCCAUCAUCAAGAGUCACACUCUCUGCUGACUGAGCCAGCAAGGCAUCCCACUCCAUGCUACUUUAAAAAGUGGUUUCCUUCUUUGGCUGCCAGGACCAUAUCACUCCCCAAGUUCCUCUAGCAAGGGAGCUUUACUUUAAAGCCACACAUGAUACUAACAGAGAAGGGAGAGCUGGGACACAACCAGGCCUCAUAGGGACUGGAACAGUAAGCAGUUUAGGAAUUGGAAGUAUCUGAUGCAUUUCUAAGAACUGAGCCACCAUGUUGCCCUCUAAGUAAUAGGAGUUUGUCAAUGCCCAUCUGCCAGUUAUACUAUUGAGUUCUUCUCUGGUUCUUUCCCUACAAGCUUAUCCUCCUCUUUAUGGCCUUAUCUUGUAUUUUAUUUUUGUCUUCUCACUGAUAGUUUCUCUUACCUUUGUCUUUAAGCCUUGAGCUUCUCUCCUGGCUUGCUGUCUCUGUGUCACCUUCCUUUCCAUCACCAACUUUCUGGUCUUUGUGUUUCUCCUCUUCAUGCUCCAGUGGGAGAGAGAAACUUUUCAGGCUAGUCAGUCGCUGUGGUCUCUGUUUGAGAGAGCCUGUCAGCUUCUGGCUAGUGUGUACAUUGGCUGCCCUUGGGUAGCGUCUCACUCCCAUUGCCCAUCGGCUUCGGAAGCUUUGUAGGGGUGGGCAUGGAGGAGGAGUGGCAGGAAGUAGAGCGCACAGAACCCUAGCGCAGUCCCUGGGGCUUGCCUGAGUCUGCUCACAGUCAAAUCCAGGCUUCCAUCCAACCCCCGGGACAGUGUAAUUGACUGUCCUGUAACAUCACUCUCCUACCAACUGGCUCACAGGAUGUUGCUGGUUGAUGCUUUUAUAUAUGUAGGACUCAUUCUGUAUUUAGGACUGGCUUGAGCUGCUCUGGGACCUUCUCACUUGGCUUUGUAAGGAAGUUCUCUAUUUUUCCCUGUGCAGCUAGAGUAAUAUUUUUUCCCUUUGUCACUUUCUUCAUGCCCUGUAUUCCUUCAUCUCCAUUAACCAGUCCGUUCAGAAGCAGUGGCAAGGGUGACUUGGAAAGCUGAGAAGGAAUACAUAGAGAAGAAGUUGAUUGUGGCUAAAACUAGCUGCUUAGCAUAAUUCAUUGAACUCAGAAGGAUCUGAAUAUUUUCUUUAGUUUGUUAGCUGUUUGGAGCUUUGAAAACGGGAAAGAUGGAAGCAGAAGAAAAGACUGGGCCACAAGGAUCAAGAACAGUGAGCUAAGGACAGGCAAUGGAGUAGGGCGUGGAGAUUGGUCAUUGCUACAUUCUGUCCACUUUCUGGCUGGGCUGAGUAGGGGAGGGGUAUAGAGUUCACAGUGGGGGUGAACAGGUGAUAGCAUUUUUCAACAAGAAGUGUAACAAAUGACUGAUUUGGAGGAAAUAAUAGCAUGUACAAAUGAGAGAAUGUAGAUGUUUUAUUUGAUGUAGAUGGAUCAUUUGAUCAUUUUAUUCUAUCAAUGUAUAUAAUCAUUUGCAAUUAAUCAUUAUAUAGUCAUUGAAAUGAAACAUUAUAUUGCCUUUAUUUGUGUCACUUAUUCAGUUCAUUUUCUCAAUUUUUAAUUAUAUCAGCUUCCAGUCAGAAGACUAUACAACCUCCUAGGAAAGCUGUAGAGGAGCCCCUUAAUGCAUUUAAAGAAUCAAAAGGAAUGAUGAAUGAUGAGUAACUGAAGUGAAGUGACGGACUCUGAUUUGGAAAGUAGUAAGACGUGAAAGGAGUACAAUUGUGUUUGAGCACCAUGGCCUUGGUUCACUGUUCAGGAGAAGAGAACAAGAAAGAUAACUGGUUCUCAUCUGUGGAAAAAAGUAAAUCAUUGACCCUUAAAUGAUUAUUGUUACAGUUUUUAUUCAAAGCAUUUGUAAUGUAGUUAAUAAAAGAAUUGUCAUCUGUGUUGUGUGCCCAAUUGA
This is a non-coding RNA of Leptonychotes weddellii (Weddell seal), 2586 nucleotides long. The record is from RefSeq and is a predicted model, not a curated record. NCBI's taxonomy places the organism in Eukaryota, Metazoa, Chordata, Mammalia, Carnivora, Phocidae.